GUGCUCACUUCGGCAGCACAUAUACUAAAAUUGCCCCAGUAGAGAGAAGAUUAGCAUGGCCCAUGCACACAGAUGACAUGCAAAUUCAUCAAUUUAAAUUUUA
Molecule: small nuclear RNA, 103 nt
Organism: Heterocephalus glaber (naked mole-rat)
Lineage: Eukaryota; Metazoa; Chordata; Mammalia; Rodentia; Bathyergidae
Source: Ensembl